This 63-nucleotide transfer RNA is filed under the name Babras sonorivox. RNAcentral describes it as "tRNA-Ala". Lineage: Eukaryota; Metazoa; Arthropoda; Insecta; Hemiptera; Cicadidae. The record is from RNAcentral.
AGGAGUGUAUUUAAAUAUAAUAAUUAGUUUGCAUCUAAUAGGUGUCUGCAAUGACCAUUCUUG